GAUGAACGCUGGCUACAGGCUUAACACAUGCAAGUCGAGGGGAAACGACGGGGAAGCUUGCUUCCCCGGGCGUCGACCGGCGCACGGGUGAGUAACGCGUAUCCAACCUGCCUCUGACUGAGGGAUAACCCGUCGAAAGUCGGCCUAAUACCUCAUGGUAUCGUCUGCGGGCAUCCAACGACGAUUAAAGAUUUCAUCGGUCAGGGAUGGGGAUGCGUCUGAUUAGCUUGUUGGCGGGGUAACGGCCCACCAAGGCUACGAUCAGUAGGGGUUCUGAGAGGAAGGUCCCCCACAUUGGAACUGAGACACGGUCCAAACUCCUACGGGAGGCAGCAGUGAGGAAUAUUGGUCAAUGGGCGAGGGCCUGAACCAGCCAAGUAGCGUGCAGGAAGACGGCACUAUGGGUUGUAAACUGCUUUUAUGCGGGGAUAAAGUGAGGGACGUGUCCCUCAUUGCAGGUACCGCAUGAAUAAGAACCGGCUAAUUCCGUG
RNAcentral lists this ribosomal RNA (491 nucleotides) under uncultured bacterium. Its description in RNAcentral is "partial 16S ribosomal RNA". It matches the Rfam family "Bacterial small subunit ribosomal RNA", at positions 28 to 507 of the family's 1533-position model. The record is from RNAcentral.